This 430-nucleotide ribosomal RNA is filed under the name Bacteroidota bacterium. Its description in RNAcentral is "Bacteroidetes bacterium partial 16S ribosomal RNA". It matches the Rfam family "Bacterial small subunit ribosomal RNA", at positions 355 to 776 of the family's 1533-position model. The record is from RNAcentral. Lineage: Bacteria; Pseudomonadati; Bacteroidota.
UAGGGAAUCUUCGGCAAUGGGGGGAACCCUGACCGAGCAACGCCGCGUGAGUGAAGAAGGUUUUCGGAGCGUAAAGCUCUGUUGUUAAGGAAGAACGAGUGUGAGAAUGGAAAGUUCAUGCUGUGACGGUACUUAAACAGAAAGGGACGGCUAACUACGUGCCAGCAGCCGCGGUAAUACGGAGGUCCCGAGCGUUGUCCGGAUUUAUUGGGCGUAAAGCGAGCGCAGGCGGUCAAUUAAGUCUGAUGUGAAAGCCCCCGGCUCAACCGGGGAGGGUCAUUGGAAACUGGUUGACUUGAGUGCAGAAGAGGAGAGUGGAAUUCCAGGUGUAGCGGUGAAAUGCGUAGAUAUAUGGAGGAACACCAGUGGCGAAGGCGACUCCCUGGUCUGUAACUAACGCUGAGGCUCGAAAGCGUGGGUAGCAAACAGG